This is a long non-coding RNA of Triticum dicoccoides, 1044 nucleotides long. RefSeq lists it as uncharacterized. The transcript has 2 exons. The record is from RefSeq and is a predicted model, not a curated record. NCBI's taxonomy places the organism in Eukaryota, Viridiplantae, Streptophyta, Magnoliopsida, Poales, Poaceae.
UGUCGUUUCGUAAUUUUGGCUGAAACGAGCCCCUCCAGUUCUUCCCCAUCUCCCAUUCCCCUCCCUCACGCUUUCCACACGGGGCGACAAAAUCUAGCAAUCCCUAGCCGCCGGAAUUCGACGGUCGUAGCCGGCGAGAGUCCACAGCCGACGGGGAGAGCCUCUCCGGUUGGAACGACCACCCACAUCGGGGCUGAGGGGAACCGCGCUGACGUCGACCGACGGAGAGACGCCGCGCUGCGGGCGCGGCGGGGAGAAGAGAGGAAGGGGGCGCGCGUGGGCGGCUGGCCGACGGGAACCAGCGUGUCUCUGCCACAUCUACGAACUGCAGAAACAAAGGUGCAAGACAAUAGAGAAGAUAGAAUUCAAGAUUCAGCAACUUUUAUCUACCAUCCAGUUCUACAAGGCACGGGGAUGCAAGUUCAUGGCCAAAAUAAUUGGAACAACACUUUUACCUUUGCUGUUUUUCACUGGGAGAAACUUGCCCAGCUCUGCCAAUAUUUUUGCCCAAUAUUCACCAGAAAUUUUGCCUGAUCAGCAUGAAGAGUUGCAGAUACAAUUACGUUUUCAGAAUUUCCCCAUGAUCUUUUGCCUUGUUUUCGUCUCUAUUUUACUCUGUUUUUUCGCUGUGGGAGGAGAGCUCCACAACGCUAGGCCAUUGCGUCCAGCGGUGGCUGGGGAAGGAGUUGUACGGGGGAUCUGGCUGGUGGGCGUAGGAUUUUCUGUGCUGGAUGGAGGGGAGGAUCACGUGAGGGAAAGGAUGGCUGGUUGUCAGGACGUGGCAACAAGAUGGGGAAGCUGGACUUGCCUUCUUUAGCACAUGGGGUGGGGGACCGACAGGGCACUUUCCUUAAUUGCCGGCCGCGAGAUACGCCCGCGUAGCGCGCGGGCGCUGUGUAGCAGCGUCCAUCUAUCAAUUAGCUCUUAGGAUCGGGAAUAGGAUUGCCAAUGUAAUCAUUGCUGGGUAUUACUCAGAUUGCGCUCGUCGUGUAACUCUUUUUUGUUUAAAGGACAAAAAAUAUCAUGUUGUUUCUUUUCUGGAAA